Molecule: ribosomal RNA, 443 nt
Filed under: uncultured bacterium
Lineage: Bacteria
Description: partial 16S ribosomal RNA
Rfam family: Bacterial small subunit ribosomal RNA
Source: RNAcentral
CUACGGGUGGCUCCAGUGGGGAAUAUUGCACAAUGGCGCAAGCCUGAUGCAGCAACGCCGCGUGAGGGAUGAAGGCCUUCGGGUUGUAAACCUCUUUUAGCAGGGAAGAAGCGAAAGUGACGGUACCUGCAGAAAAAGCACCGGCUAACUACGUGCCAGCAGCCGCGGUAAUACGUAGGGUGCAAGCGUUGUCCGGAAUUAUUGGGCGUAAGGAGCUCGUAGGCGGUUUGUCACGUCUGCUGUGAAAAUCCAAGGCUCAACCUUGGACUUGCAGUGGGUACGGGCAGGCUAGAGUGCGGUAGGGGAGAUGGGAAUUCCUGGUGUAGCGGUGGAAUGCGCAGAUAUCAGGAGGAACACCAAUGGCGAAGGCACAUCUCUGGGCCGUAACUGACGCUGAGGAGCGAAAGCGUGGGGAGCGAACAGGAUUAGAUACCCUUGUAGUC